Long non-coding RNA from Mus musculus (house mouse), 2353 nucleotides. RefSeq annotates it as predicted gene 10832. NCBI's taxonomy places the organism in Eukaryota, Metazoa, Chordata, Mammalia, Rodentia, Muridae. The transcript has 3 exons. The record is from RefSeq and is a predicted model, not a curated record.
AAACUGACCUGACUAAGGUUAGGGCAGGUGGGAGGAGUGGAGCUAAGAGUAAUAAUAAGGGCGAAUUUUCCAGGUGGGAGGUAGAGCGCCCAGCAACUGUGCCAAGAAGACAAGUUGAAAAUGAACAACUGUGUGGGUGGUUUUUAUCUGAGGAUUUAAGGAAAGCCAGGCAGGGGCUGGUAGCUUGUCCUCCAUUCCUGGAGCAAAGAGGUCACUAAUGAGAGUCCAAAGAGAAUCACAGCAGCAGCCAUCGAAACUCCUCUUGAACAGACCGAGGAACAUCCCUGAUCUCAGCAGGGAGCUGAGGCAGGAGGAUCAUGAGUCACAGAUUUGGGCUCCCUGAUGCCAUCACCCCAGUCUCUGCCUAUGUCAUCACGUGGCCUUCUCCCCGGGUCGGAGGACCACAGACACUGGUGGGAAGCUUGAUCCAGGAUCUUCCAUUUCUAUUUGAUCCCAUUGGCAAGGCCCAAUUUCCAAGGGACCAUCCCUCAUCCCUCCCAUGAGGAAGAGAUUCUCGGCCACUCCAGAGUCUUCCUCUAGAGGGCGCUCAGCCACCCUGGAAGUGCUCAGCUCCUUGAGGGGCACAGCCUCACCCAGACAUCAAGCACUCACGCCUGCUACCGGACGGCAGGGAUGGAGGCUCUAGGUCCAACUUUUGUGGUUGACAGAGGAAUAAACGAAGACUCAAAGACAGACAGCGGCUUCCUGAGGUCACAUGGGUGACUGAGAACCAGAGUUAGACCUGCACCCAGAACUCUUCUUCCCCCUGCUGUCUACAGGGAGCACCUUGUGGACAGACUUUUAUUCUAUAAAGAAACAGAAUCAUUACCCAACACCCUCCCUUGUUGUUAUCCAUAGCAAAAUAAAAAGCUGCUCCCUCCAGAGAGGUGACAGCAGCACUGGAGCCCAGUGGAGGACUUGCUGGAAGGCCUUAGUUCUGGCUCUCAGAGUCAGCUGUCACCCUCUUCUUCAGACUCUCCCUCAGACUCACGUGCGACCUUGGGCAGGUCAUCCUCCCGGUUCCCCGCUGGAAUCUUCCCGACCUGGCAUCCCACGUGAAUUUGAUGGUCACUUUGAAUUCAGCCAUCUCAUUCCCAAACAGCUUCAGGACAUGGGCCUGCUUUGUGGUCAGCACAUCACCUACUUUGCGUACUUAAUAGUCAGACAGCAGGGUCUCCACACCUUUCUUGAGGGCAGUGGGCAGCCCCAGCUGCCUCAGCUGUGGCUCCGUGGAAUGAGGGAGCUGCUUCAGGGGCCCUGGAUCCAGCGCAGUUAAAGUUGCCUUGUUCCCAGCUCUGUGUGAACCACUCAUUCACCGCCUUCUUCCUGCGGGUGGUAAAAAGGAGCCCAGCUUCACCUCUCAACUCCCUGCUGACCUGAUGUAGGUUGUCUGAUGGCUUCGACCCAAGGCCACCAUCAUCACCUUGUGUUUGCUGUGCUUCCAGGCAUUCCCAUGUCCCUCAGCUUGCUCUUCCUCAUGUUAGCCACAGAGAAGAUGAAGAAAGAGGUGCUUGUAGGCACCCACACAUUUCCAAAGUUGUUCUAUCAGGUUCUGCUUCAGUUACAAGCCUUGGCAGUUUCUGUUAAGGAAACUUUCGUGUUUCGCUUGAAUUUGGGCACUGUGCUAAAGGCAUGUACCGCAACUGGACCUCUUGAGCCCUUCAGUCAGCGUCCUCAUAGUUCUAGAGCACUAUGGGAGGGACGGUCUACCCAACUGUCCAUCCUCGGGCACAUUAUGCUACACACACACACACACACACACACACUCACACACUCAGCCCCACACCUAGUUACAAUACCACCUCACUUAACCAACUUCCCUACCACUUAAGCCUACACACUCAGGGAUGGAAAGAAAUCACAGGCAGCCACUCUCCCACUGUGUUAACUUCCUGAAGCUGCACUAACAAUUGACCACACUCUGGGGUUUGCAUCAUUUGUAGUCCUUGAGAGGCAGAAAUCCACAGUGAUUUGCUUGUGGAUAAAAGCCUUUGGGAGGCUCUUCCGGCUUCCUGAGGCUUCAGCCUCCCUUGGCUCAAGGCUCCUUCAUUAGGUCUCUUCUGUAACUCCUGCUAUUGGCGCCUUCCCAAUUCUUGCCUUAUGGGAGUAUCUCUGUGACUAUGGUAGAUUCCCUGGCUCCUUAACAACACCUGAAGUCCUUUUUGACGCACCCUGAGCACUGGAUGGAGGACUUGGAAGUUCUCAGGGGCCAUUAUUCAUGUCUGAUUUUAUGUGGGUUCUUUCUUUCUUUCUUUCUUUCUUUCUUCUUUCUUUCUUCCUUCCUUCCUUUCAGUUUAAAAAUUUAACACUACUUGCUUAUGUUUUUGUGUGGAUUAAAAACAUUAGUGAUUAA